Long non-coding RNA from Maniola jurtina (meadow brown), 71 nucleotides. RefSeq lists it as uncharacterized. The record is from RefSeq and is a predicted model, not a curated record. The transcript has 3 exons. NCBI's taxonomy places the organism in Eukaryota, Metazoa, Arthropoda, Insecta, Lepidoptera, Nymphalidae.
AUAAUAAUUUUUGAAGGACUUAUUCCGUUUAUUCACCCUAAAACAGCUACACUAGGGUGUAUACUCGGAAA